Molecule: long non-coding RNA, 297 nt
Organism: Microtus ochrogaster (prairie vole)
Lineage: Eukaryota; Metazoa; Chordata; Mammalia; Rodentia; Cricetidae
Exons: 3
Source: RefSeq, a predicted model, not a curated record
CAAGGUGGCUUAGGCAGCAGGAAACGGGAAGGUAGGCCACUGGGAGGCCAAGAACGUUAAAGGAAGAGGAGAGAAGAGGUCAACGGUGAAACAGCAAGGAGACUGGAGCCAGUUACUGGUGGGCCUCCAUUGCCACCCAGGAUUCCAGGAGUCAAAUAAGAGUUAGUGAGAUGGAGACACAGAGGAUGUGGAGCAGUGGGGGACAUGGCAGGUGCCAUCUCUGCAGGGAAAUUUAAUGACUAAAGUACACCGAGUCCAGUGGUAUGCACGAUCCAGGACUGGAGCAGAAAGAGGAGC